GCCCGGCUAGCUCAGGCGGUAGAGCACGAGACUCUUAAUCUCGCUGUCGUGGGUUCGAGCCCCACGUUGGGCG
This is a non-coding RNA of Ixodes scapularis (black-legged tick), 73 nucleotides long. The record is from Rfam. Lineage: Eukaryota; Metazoa; Arthropoda; Arachnida; Ixodida; Ixodidae.